AUGGCGAUGGAGAGGAGGAAGGUUGAUAGUGAGAGAAGAGAGGGGAUCGAGGAGAGCAAUGAGAUGGGCACGGAGGUGCUCCCGGCCGUUGACAAGAAGGGCAAGGAGCCGGUUCAUCCAAUGUCCGAGGUGGUGCUGCAGCCCACCGACGACGAGCGCAUGGAGGAGCCCCCCAGCAACAAGCGCCACAACUACGGCCACUACCAUGAGGAGGGUGGCCCAACUCACUUCUGCAAGGUCAUCCUUGCACCGAAGCUUGAGUGCACCCCAUGCCCCUGGACUUCACCAAGCACUUCGCCACGGUGCCGACGGAGUUCAAGCUGA
This 324-nucleotide ribosomal RNA is filed under the name Triticum aestivum (bread wheat). Its description in RNAcentral is "partial small subunit ribosomal RNA". Lineage: Eukaryota; Viridiplantae; Streptophyta; Magnoliopsida; Poales; Poaceae. The record is from RNAcentral.